This 24-nucleotide non-coding RNA is filed under the name Arabidopsis thaliana (thale cress). Lineage: Eukaryota; Viridiplantae; Streptophyta; Magnoliopsida; Brassicales; Brassicaceae. The record is from RNAcentral.
GGAUUGGAUCUGCGCUACAACGGG